RNAcentral lists this long non-coding RNA (232 nucleotides) under Lathyrus oleraceus (garden pea). RNAcentral describes it as "Pisum sativum (pea) long non-coding RNA (PSAT_LNC013828)". The record is from RNAcentral. Lineage: Eukaryota; Viridiplantae; Streptophyta; Magnoliopsida; Fabales; Fabaceae.
UUUUAUGGAGAAGGACAUGAAAACGAGAGGUGUUCCUUGGAAGGGUCAAGUGAAGAAGCCCAUUUUACCAAUUUUCAGAAGAAUAACCCUUAUUCCAAUACCUACAAUCCGGGAUGAAAGCAUCACCCAAAUUUCCGAUGGAGCAAUAAACAAAAUUUAAGUGCAAAUCAAGGUAUGCAACAAGGCCAACAAGCUACAAUCCAAAGGAAGCCUUUACAGCUGGAAGCGACCC